UCGUUGGUGGCGCGUAUGCCUUGUAAGCACUAGGUUGCGGGUUCGAUUCCCGCCCGGGGAG
RNAcentral lists this transfer RNA (61 nucleotides) under Diaphorina citri (Asian citrus psyllid). It matches the Rfam family "tRNA". From Rfam's summary of the family: Transfer RNA (tRNA) molecules are approximately 80 nucleotides in length. Their secondary structure includes four short double-helical elements and three loops (D, anti-codon, and T loops). The record is from Rfam by way of RNAcentral. Lineage: Eukaryota; Metazoa; Arthropoda; Insecta; Hemiptera; Psyllidae.